RNAcentral lists this ribosomal RNA (493 nucleotides) under uncultured bacterium. RNAcentral's name for it is "partial 16S ribosomal RNA". It matches the Rfam family "Bacterial small subunit ribosomal RNA", at positions 29 to 523 of the family's 1533-position model. The record is from RNAcentral.
AUUGAACGCUGGCGGCAUGCUUUACACAUGCAAGUCGAACGGUAACAGGUUAAGCUGACGAGUGGCGAACGGGUGAGUGAUGCAUCGGAACGUGCCCGGCCGUGGGGGAUAACGCAGCGAAAGCUGCGCUAAUACCGCAUACGAGCUGAGGAUGAAAGCGGGGGACCGUAAGGCCUCGCGCGAUCGGAGCGGCCGAUGUCAGAUUAGGUAGUUGGUGGGGUAAAGGCCCACCAAGCCGACGAUCUGUAGCGGGUCUGAGAGGACGACCAGCCACACUGGGACUGAGACACGGCCCAGACUCCUACGGGAGGCAGCAGUGGGGAAUUUUGGACAAUGGGCGAAAGCCUGAUCCAGCAAUGCCGCGUGCAGGAAGAAGGCCUUCGGGUUGUAAACUGCUUUUGUACGGAGCGAAAAGGUCCUUUUUAAUACAAGGGGCUCAUGACGGUACCGUAAGAAUAAGCACCGGCUAACUACGUGCCAGCCGCCGCGGUAA